Molecule: ribosomal RNA, 654 nt
Filed under: uncultured Bacteroidales bacterium
Lineage: Bacteria; Pseudomonadati; Bacteroidota; Bacteroidia; Bacteroidales
Description: bacterial SSU rRNA
Rfam family: Bacterial small subunit ribosomal RNA
Source: RNAcentral
CUUAGCUUGCUAAGGCUGAUGGCGACCGGCGCACGGGUGAGUAACACGUAUCCAACCUGCCGUCUACUCUUGGCCAGCCUUCUGAAAGGAAGAUUAAUCCAGGACGGGAUCAUGAGUUCACAUGUCCGCAUGAUUAAAGGUAUUUUCCGGUAGACGAUGGGGAUGCGUUCCAUUAGAUAGUAGGCGGGGUAACGGCCCACCUAGUCAACGAUGGAUAGGGGUUCUGAGAGGAAGGUCCCCCACAUUGGAACUGAGACACGGUCCAAACUCCUACGGGAGGCAGCAGUGAGGAAUAUUGGUCAAUGGGCGAUGGCCUGAACCAGCCAAGUAGCGUGAAGGAUGACUGCCCUAUGGGUUGUAAACUUCUUUUAUAAAGGAAUAAAGUCGGGUAUGCAUACCCGUUUGCAUGUACUUUAUGAAUAAGGAUCGGCUAACUCCGUGCCAGCAGCCGCGGUAAUACGGAGGAUCCGAGCGUUAUCCGGAUUUAUUGGGUUUAAAGGGAGCGUAGAUGGAUGUUUAAGUCAGUUGUGAAAGUUUGCGGCUCAACCGUAAAAUUGCAGUUGAUACUGGAUGUCUUGAGUGCAGUUGAGGCAGGCGGAAUUCGUGGUGUAGCGGUGAAAUGCUUAGAUAUCACGAAGAACUCCGAUUGCGAAG